This 253-nucleotide ribosomal RNA is filed under the name uncultured prokaryote. Its description in RNAcentral is "partial 16S ribosomal RNA". It matches the Rfam family "Bacterial small subunit ribosomal RNA", at positions 524 to 776 of the family's 1533-position model. The record is from RNAcentral.
UACGGAGGGUGCAAGCGUUAAUCGGAAUUACUGGGCGUAAAGCGCGCGUAGGCGGCUUGUUUAGCCAGAUGUGAAAGCCCCGGGCUCAACCUGGGAACUGCAUUUGGAACUGGCAGGCUAGAGUACAGUAGAGGGUGGUGGAAUUUCCAGUGUAGCGGUGAAAUGCGUAGAGAUUGGAAGGAACAUCAGUGGCGAAGGCGGCCACCUGGACUGAUACUGACGCUGAGGUGCGAAAGCGUGGGGAGCAAACAGG